Molecule: ribosomal RNA, 583 nt
Filed under: Salmonella enterica subsp. enterica serovar Stanley
Lineage: Bacteria; Pseudomonadati; Pseudomonadota; Gammaproteobacteria; Enterobacterales; Enterobacteriaceae
Description: partial 23S ribosomal RNA
Rfam family: Bacterial large subunit ribosomal RNA
Source: RNAcentral
GUGGACGCCAGUCUGCAUGGAGCCGGCCUUGAAAUACCACCCUUUAAUGUUUGAUGUUCUAACGUGGACCCGUAAUCCGGGUUGCGGACAGUGUCUGGUGGGUAGUUUGACUGGGGCGGUCUCCUCCUAAAGAGUAACGGAGGAGCACGAAGGUUGGCUAAUCCUGGUCGGACAUCAGGAGGUUAGUGCAAUGGCAUAAGCCAGCUUGACUGCGAGCGUGACGGCGCGAGCAGGUGCGAAAGCAGGUCAUAGUGAUCCGGUGGUUCUGAAUGGAAGGGCCAUCGCUCAACGGAUAAAAGGUACUCCGGGGAUAACAGGCUGAUACCGCCCAAGAGUUCAUAUCGACGGCGGUGUUUGGCACCUCGAUGUCGGCUCAUCACAUCCUGGGGCUGAAGUAGGUCCCAAGGGUAUGGCUGUUCGCCAUUUAAAGUGGUACGCGAGCUGGGUUUAGAACGUCGUGAGACAGUUCGGUCCCUAUCUGCCGUGGGCGCUGGAGAACUGAGGGGGGCUGCUCCUAGUACGAGAGGACCGGAGUGGACGCAUCACUGGUGUUCGGGUUGUCAUGCCAAUGGCACUGCCCGGU